CCCUGCAUCUCAAACACACACACACACACACACACGUUCCCCAGUGUGAUUCAGAGGGAGAAAAAAAAUAAAAGAAUAACACAACACUGCUGAUCAGAGCUGCUCAGCCCGCCUGCUCUGCACUGAGGGUCCCUGACAGAAGCAGCGAUGUUCGAGACGCAGGGAGCCCUCAGUUUGUCCGUCACUGAUUAGUAAAAAAAGAAAAUACUUCGCCUCUUCUUGCCCAGCUGCAGCGGAUAUGUGCAUCUGUGCAUCUUGACACGCCUUCAAGCCACCAGUGGACACACACACACAAAGCCGAGACAAAGACACACAAACUGACAUGGCUGAGGUGAGUGCAAAUGCACAAAUGUGCAAGAGCUGUUAUUUCAUUUGCAAAACACGGCUCGGCAAAGCCUCAGCAAAAUAGGCAAUUAGAGACUCUUCUUCAUGAGCACUUGACUGUAUUCCUGUAACCUUUUACACAACUAUUCUUCUCAAAGUAUUUGUCACCUUCGCAGUGGGGCCUUCGCACGAAGCUUUUCAAAACACACAGUGGGGGAGAAAAGGAGGCGUAGAAACUUAAAAUCCUCCCGUGAGGAUUUGGGAACUUAUAUAACUCCCAAUUAUCAAAACUUCUUGCAGCCUUUGCAGGCCUCCCCUCUGUUUGUUAGACUCACAAAAUAUCUACAGUGCCACUGAAGAGUGUAUAAUGCCUGUAUGCCCACAUGACUGGCGAAAACACUCCUGCUCUUUCUGCCCCGCUGAGUCCUGCUGCAUAAUGGGGGUCUUGAAGGCUGUGGGCUCAGAGCAGGCCUGCCUAACAAAGCCUUGGUGGCUUGCAGCAGACAGGAGAAUGUGUUUGCGAGCCGUUUGCCAAAAACUAAUUUUCGGGAGGUUUUUUAUGUGGGAUGCAGUGGCAGCAGCAUGACAGUGUGAGGUUUAGAUAGAGCGGGGAGGGCUGUGAGCGCGAUACGUGGCUCUUUUGUGAAAGUCCAGAGAGUUGGUUCAGAAAUGAGGAAGUUCACAAAUUGGUAGUUUGGAAUAAAUUGGAAAAAAGUUAGUUGUGGCAUUUUUUACUUUUUUGUUUGUUUAAUUGCAGUAAUUUCCACCCCAUCCUGGAGCAUUUUUUGGAAUUAAUUUCAGAUUAACCAGACGAAGGAGUCCACUUUCACCAGCCUGCAGGCUAGUCCCGUAUUUCUUUCACUCCCUCUGUAUCUCUCAUGAGUAUUUUUUUAUCCUGGAUCCCCUCACCUUCACUUUCAUUUUGGCUCCACAGUAAUGUACCUGUUUACCCAUUGGGUGGUCCUGAGCUGGGCUAAACUAAAGCCCCAGUUCCUGCAAUCUAAGUGUAGAGUAGCUGCUAAUCCGAUUUCAGGAAACAGCCAAGCCCCCGCCUCCCUACGCUCCUACCCCACCCACCACCACCAAACACUGCCCCCCCCCCCUUCUCUUCAGAGAAGAAAGGAAAUAACAGAAACAUGAGUGACAGGGAAGGAGUUAGAGGGAAGAACAAUUAAACUUGGGUCCGGUUUGGUUAUGGGAGUAUUUUUUCAGCAGGACAACAGAACCUGGGCUCAUAUUUAUGUGUCUGUCCCUUUAAUAAAAGGUGCGACAGUGAGGACAUAUUACCUGCUCACGGACUGGUCUCUCCUCCGAGUCCACUCUGCCCUCCCUGGUGCGUUACCGAGGCCAAACAUAAAGCAGUGUUUCAUGGCGCUGGGGCUUAUCUGGGCUCUGAAAGUAUGUGAGACAUGCCAGGAAAACAAAGGAGCGUCUCUGCGCCAACUGCAGGGCACUGAUGACCUUGUUCUGGCGCUCCUGACACAGUAGGAUUGCUCCAUAAACGAUAAGUAAAGACGGAGUGUCUGGGAGGUUAAAGGCCUCCACUUUCACAAACAAAGAGGCUACAGAGAGAAUUGAGCGCCAAAGAAGAAGAGAAUGCAUUUGUUUUGUCACUGGCUUGUUUUUGCAGGAUUUGUUUUGUACGACACCUGUGUUUUGUGCGUUGUUGCAAAACUGGGCAGGAAACGGAUUUGCGUUUGUAUGCCGCUAUUUUAGUCUGCCUAACAUUCUAACCGCUUUUUUACACUACAUGUCAUUCACCCAUUCACACCCAUAUCAGAUCGUAACCAAUUGGACUUAAGAUAUCUACUGAAUUACUUAUACAAUAGUAUCUUGUGUGUAUUAUCAACAUGAUUUAAAUAUUUAAUUUCUAAAUAACACGGUCAAUAUCAGUCUGUCGCAAGACCCCAUUUGGGACAUUCCUGUUCCCCUCAGGACAUUUUGUAUUAACUCUGAUAGCCCCUCAACUUUUCAUGCAGCGCCAUCAUCAGGUUUAUUUCUGAACUGCAAAACGUAUUCCAUGAGAUUCCCAUUGGCAUUAACUGUACUUUCUGUUUAUGGUUAACUUGCAAGUUUUAACGAACGCGCUGAGAUCAGAACGGUUAAUUUCAUAACUGCAAAACAUCGACAUGUUGACACAGUCAUUCUGAACAUUUACCAUGAUGUUGGCAUAUAAUAGGAUACAAUAUCACCAACAUAAUUUGAAACUCAAGGCUUCAAACUCAAACAAUGACCAAAAAGACUAAGCACUGAUUUGUUUCACCACUUUGUCUCCAUCAGAGCGCCUAAAGUGCUGAUCCAACACUUGUAUAACUGCAGUGAGGAGAAGCCUCUUGAGGAGGCACCAAGGAGCUCGCUCCACUCCCUGGGUAGACACAGACAGAAUACUCCAGAUUACCUAGUUUUCCUAAUGUCUCCUCUCUGGCGAAGUGUCUUUCAGAGGGCUGAGAGGCAAACCGGCGCUGGUGAAAGACUCACUCUCCAUUAGUGGAGGUAAACGGCUCUUCUGUGAGCAACCGGCUAAAGCGGGGCGGGAUAAAAGGCCUCUCCACGCACUUCUUCAGGCAGAUUAGAGAGGUGACUCUUGUCUCGAGGAUGUUAAUGUUUGUACGCGCACAGCGGAGCGCUCUACCGCAGGAACCUCAGCGGUCUCAUUGCUGCGUUUAUCUGCAGGAAUUCACAUGGUUCUGUUUCGUCAGCAAUGAAACCUGCAUUUAAUUCUCAGUUCAAUCAUCCUGCAUUAGGCUGUUUUGUUUGUAGUCUGAGCUACACCUUCAACUGCAAUUGUAUUAUAACCAUUGCCUUGGAAUUAAAUGUUGAGGGGAAUUGGUUUAAAAUAAUGGUAAGAACACCAUGGAGCUGCUUUUAGGUGUUUAGGUGUUGCAACUACUAUUCUAUUAUAAUUCUAGAAUAAAAUGAUAAUAGUAAAACUUCAGAAAACUGGAAAAAAUAGAAGGUAAAGAUGGUUUCAAUAAUUUCCUUAAUUUAUUUAUGUAGUUGAUACUUUAACAUAAAAAAAACAUGCAAGUUGUCCAACAAUUACAAUGCAUUUCCCCCUCUCUCAGUUCUUCCAACUCUAACUGGUCCUUACUUUCUGAGGGGGAGAAACAAGCUGCGCCUCGUGGCAGGCUCACUGCUUCCUUGCCAGCUACCAGCCGCUGAUUGCAUUUCGCCCGAGAAGUAAAUACUACAUGCUCAGUUACCAGGUGAAAUCAAGCAGGCAGACGUGUCGGCAGCCUCAGUAGACGCUCGCUGGACCCUGCCUGCUUCUACCUGUGACACGGACUUUAUAGCCAAGUCAGCUGCUGCUGAUCCACGUUGCUGAGCAGGUAUCGGUGUGUAAGUGUGUGUGUGUCUGUGUCAGAGAGGGACAGGGAGAGAUGGAAAGAAAAAAAAAAAAACAGUAGUGACGACAAAGUUUGUUUACUUUUUAAGAAAAUAAAAAUGUAUGGCCAUUGAUUUGAAAGACUUGUUAAAGGAAUACCGAUAACUGCAGCUUUUUACCGACACUCACUGCAGCCGCCAUCGGGCCUGUUUGUUGUGAACCGUGUAGAAAGCAAGAGAGCAGCGGAGGUAUAUUUGCCGGGGAAGGGGUGAGAAUACAAUAGCCCUCCUUCCAAGGGUCUGUAACCAAACACUCUUAAUAAAGUCCCUGCCACUGCACAGCUCGCCUUACAACAACAGGGACGGCAUUAUACAACUCCACUCUUUGUUUUGAAGCGCCCCACCAGCGAGUCCUAGAGAGGGACGAGCACUGCACAAUGUAAAAUAUUGAUGACCCCGUUACACCUUAUAUUAUUUCCAUUGGCAGCACAUCUACUGAUGCUGUGGUCUAGUGUAUUUUUUCGAGUUUCUUAGCAGGCAGGUUUUUUUUGGAGUGAUUCAUGCACCAGAAGUCAGAACAAUAAUGUCAUAUAUUUCACUGACAUGUUGGACGUUGUGAUUUAAAGACAAGUUAAGUACAAUGUGACAUUUUUAAUGAUUAACCUGUUUUCAUAAUCAUCACAAGUAUCAGUCGGACAGAUUGAAUGAUUGUUUGAUCUCUUUUCCGACGAUGUUGGCCAAGACUGGAGUGAGUAGCAUUAAAGGUUGAAUUUAAAGAAACGUACAAGUAUCUUUAAACGAGCAGUUGAUCAUUAACCUUAAACCAAGCAGUGACCAAUCGUAAUGGUUUACAAGACACUGGAGCAAAAAUAAUAAAACAAUACGAACAUAAACCGAAUGGAUCAAAUAAUGAGGACACUGUAACAUGGUCAUGCUGACUGGACUCCUUUAACUUUCCCUAUAAACACUCGUCGGUAUUGUGUCAAUACUUGCAGCUAAAGAAGGAGCCUCUCCUUGCGGAUUUCAGGCCUCCCCGUUGUUUAAGGUUGUGACCCCUCUUUUUAUUUUUCCCGGGGCUUCUGGGUUAAUGAAGUAACAACAAACUGGGCCUGCGGCUAAUUUGGAGUGGCACUUCCUGGCCCCUCCUGUCUGCACCGAGACGUAUUUCAUUUUCUCUUAUCUCUGCCUCGGUCAUGCGGCUUUCCGCAUGGACGCCCAUGUCUCCCCCAGUUGCACGACUAAUGGAAACUUCGUUAAUGUCAUUAAUCUGCAGACCAGGACAUGAACCAAACACGUUUAACCUUUCUGGGCACGCCUGUGCCACCGUAGCUGCGGUGACUGUCCACGCGCUGUUGUACUUGUGGCUCACUGUGACGUGUAAUAAUAUGCGAUUCUCUUUCCCGCAUGAAUUGGAGCCACUAUAAAGCUGAGCUGGUCGAACAUGGGGCUAGAAUCCAACAGCAAGAUGUAUAAAUGAAUGCACAUUCAGGCUUUUUUAUUUUUUUUUAAUUUCUCAGCUGGUACCAAAGUUUCUCCAGGAAAAGUACUUGAUAACGAACUACUUCUGAUUCUCCGCAUCGCUCAAUUUUCACUAAAUAUCUAUCUUUCCUAAUCAGCCUCACUUGACUGAACGGGUGUCUAUAGAUGACAGCACUCUCACUUCCACCAUGCACAUUAAAACAAUGGUAACGUCAAAAGACUACUUAAUGACUAAUCAGGUGGCUGUGAUUCAUGCCUCAUUCAAAGCCCCUUAUUCACACAUUCCACCAGCUCCAUCAAUGGACACUCCCAGCCCCACAUGUCAUAUACGUUCAUUCAUAAAGAAGAAAACAACGAGAGGGGGGGAGGGGGUUGAAAAAAAAAAAAAAAGGAGUCUCUCUUGUAGGAUGGGUAACCCAGGGGACAUUUUCUUUUGUGUGGCGCUCAGCUUAUGGGGCCAAAUGCCAGCAGGCUUACCUCCACACUGUCUGUCUGUGUGUGUCCCCCUUUCCUUUGCACGCAGUAAUUAGGAGGAUCUUAAUGGAGAGGGGGUUUAUUAGUGUCUGAGGAAGGCUUUAAACGUCACUUUAAUUAAGGGGGAUUCGGCAGACAGCUUGUGUGGCGAUGUCACCCAUUUUAUAAAAUCCUUGUUUGGGCACAACAGAAAAAUAGAAGUGGGUCUUUAAAAGGAAGGGAAAAGGUCUCUGCAGAGGAAGGGCCGUCUGGACCUGCGGUCAGCGACAGAAUGGAUCGUCUGACCCUGGCUGAGCGUUAAGAUGACGUCAUUAUCCGUCAAGAAAUUCCAAAUGUGUGCGUACGGGGAGAAAACUAACCUCCCUUCAAGGAGAAAAUAAAAGCAGCCAAACAAACCGCCUGUUAAAAGAUAACCUCACUGCUGAAAAUUUUUUUUUGGGGGGGGGAUUAAUUUAUUCUCAGCAUAUCCUAUGGCCGUUCAUGCAGGAUAUAAAAGCCUAGAUUAUUUCCUGCUUGGUUAACCCGCAUCCGGCCAGUCGCUCUCACAAAGGCAUUCUAAUGUUGCCAUUAGUUAUGCUCCUCUGGUGGCCAAAAGAUUGAUCCCAGAGACUUGGAAUCCAAUAAAUGUGUACAUGAAUGGCAGAGGGAGAUAACACGUUCGCCACAGACAGUGCGAGUGCUGAAACACGAUUGAAAAAGGCUGAUUAAUGAGGCCAUAUUUGUAAAUAACCUCAACACUAACACUUCAAUAGUAGUUUAUUUACCUUGACCUUUUUCUUUUUAUCUUAAUUUUAUUAUCAAGCUACAAUAGCCACUGAGAACUUGAGUUAGUUAGUAAGUAAAAAAAAAACAUGUUUCAGGUGUGUUAAUUAUUAAGUACCUCAAUAAGGAUUUGUCAGAAGUUAGAUGAGGAAAAAGGGAGAAAAUGAGGAGGAAUCUUUUCAGUAAAAAAAGGAAACGACAGAAAAGAUCAAAUGUACUCACUCAUAAGAGCUGGUGUUGUCACAAACAUCACGGGGCUAUAAAAGUCUUCCACAAUAACUGCGGCUGCUGGGGGCCCGCGGAGGGGAUCUGAUAAUGGGGCCCGAGGGGAAGCGACAGCGUGCUCAGGGACCUGGGAUCGUCUGGAAGACGGAUAAGAAGACACAGGAGCAGGUUAUCAGCCAGUUUAUGGGGUGUCACUCCGCUCAAACACUCACCUGUUCCGCAGGACAUUUCACAAACAGGCACCGUGUUAAUCGUGUAGGGAUCCGGCUGCUAUGGACCCAAUCGAAUGUAUUUUACAACCCUUGAGACCAGAACUCAUAGACAAUUUCAUUUUGUUCAGAUGAGUAAAGAUAGUUUUUUUAAGCAUAUUUCAUUCAAACGUUAUUUACCUGUUUUUAUAGAGAACACCUGAAUGUGGUAGGAUACAUCGUUGACAUAACUUCAAGACUUAGUAUAACACCAGGAUUCCCACUGUAAACCCAUGUGACGUUCUCUUUUCAGCCCGUGUGCGAACUAAGAAAGAGCCUCAUGUCGAACACGGUGUGCUUGAAAAGACAUGAAAACAUCUCCAACACAGUGUAACCCUGCUAUAAGACGACAUCGUCAAAGUUAUAUGCCUGGAUGUUGUACUUGUAACUUUGAGAUUCUGGCUGGAUUAUCUAGCCGUCACAAUUUGCUUUCACAAAUUCCCUAAUUAGCAUCAAUCAUUCAACAAAGCAGUGAUUUUUUUUUUGUGGUAUCGAGCCUCUAAAAACACAUUAAAACGCACAUACGGGGAAAUACAUUGUCUCAAACCUUUCUUAUCUGCAGUGUUUCUUAAUCAUUUUAUACAAAGCGCUGAACUAUUUUAGAAUGAAUUGGCUUUAUGAUAAUAAUAUUGAUAAUAAAAGUACUAUUGAGCAGUGAGAGGGAAUUAGCAGAAAGAGCAUCUUGACUGGUUGAGAUAAAUGGCGGCUGACCUGCGUGUACGUAGAGCUGAUGUGCCUUGUGGCACCACUGGACAGGUGCUCUAAAAACCCUUCCUGUGUGGGGGGGGGAGAGGGUGGGGGAGAGGUGGGGGCAGUGAGGUCGCCUCCCCCGAGGCCUCGCUGAGAGAAAGUCAGAGCACAAAGCAUUUUGUUGCCAAUAGAUUGCAAACGCCAAGACUGCAACCGCUUAUCCUUAUCACCUACUAAUGCUGUAUUCUACUUGUUUGCUUGGUUUUAAAUUACACAAACCGCCUCGUUCACUUAUAAAAUCGGACCGAAUGAAUGAGAACAGUUGGGGGGGUAAAGAGAAGUGGCCCAAAAUGAAAUCCCUCUAAACUAAAAGAAACAAUGCAAAGUUCUGUUUUCCAAUGGCUUCUUCCAUACGUGAUGAACAUCACCACAUCAUAAAAUAAUAAUCUGAUUUUGUUCUUUGAUCUUUAAGCAGCUUUCCGCUGUACACCAACGUAUAGGAAACGUUUGCUCAGUGACAUUUUAUUUGCUAAAUAUUUCGAAAAACUUUUGCCGUAUCAGUCGCAGGAUUUUGUUUUCUUUUAGUUUUACACGGAAAAACACAGUUUCACGACAUGCUUCGACGUGCACGCGACAAAGCCACUAAAUCAGAGAAGUACGUUCCCUUUCCAUCACAAAAAAUAAAUAAACAGCCCAACUGUAGACUGCUUGGGUACGUUCACCAGAUUUCUUUUUAUCAUUACGCUUUCACCCACAUAAAUGAUCAAAACAAAUGACACUCUCUGCGCAAAGAAGAAACGGAGCCCACAAAAGGGAGUCUGACAGCCAUUUCCACAACAGAUGUUUUUACAGAGGGGUGUCUUCUCUCCGCUGAGCAGUCUCACACAUGAGAGACCCCCAAAAGCUUCAGAGAAACGUCCAGAAAACCAACAUGUAAAUUUGUAACUGCCAUGUCUCCGACUAGCGGGCCCGCGCCAAUUUUGUUUCUUUAGGAAUAAAACAAAGAAACAAAGAAUAAAAAAAAAAACAAGAGACGGCUGCAUCGGUGUGGACGGCUUUAAAAAGGCGGGAGGAACAGCAACAGAACCACGACGUCGGAAAAAGACAACAGACGACAUCGUUUGUGUGUUAUCAUGAAAAGAUAAGUCCCUAUUGAUCCAGGUUGUGGGCAAAGGCUGCGCUAUUGACAGGAAGACGGAAUAUGUCGGAGGGGCAAUAUUUCACACGUUCGGCCCGUUCACUCGAUCACUGUGAGGGGGUGUUUUUUUUUCCCCGGCCUGUAUAUAAUAACACGUGUGCUCUUUAUUUCCUUCAGAUCAAUGGUAAUGCGAGGGAGGCCACACAAGAUGGAUGCCACGGGCGGGUUUUAGCCGAGCGACGCAGGCCGACGCGAGGGAGACCGACCGCGUUUCCUGAGAGCAACCGAAGCUGGCGGCCAUCUGCUGUGACUCGCGACGCCGAACGAAACUUUCUUGGUCGUUGUUGUUACCGCAAACCUGCGACUAAAAAACGUCCAACAUUGUCCACCGUGCAAGCCGGCCCCUCUUGACCUGCAGCUCCUCGUGAAAUAACGUACGCGUAGAAUUCAAAUCAACAUGCCGACUUUGACUGCACAAAUACUGUGGUGCGAUAAUGCAGACAAUGACGCCUUGAAUCACACGACCUUCGAGACCAAGCAGAGAGGUGAAAUGAUUAGUGAGGCUUAGAUUGGAUUUGGAGGUGGGUUUUAAUUGUGAAAGAGGCCUUAUAUUGUAAAAGUUUCAAUUAAUUAAACUGUAAUGUGCUUGAAUUCACUCUGUAAAUGCACCUUUUGUAACGCUUAAGAAUGAUAUGUUAAGUGUUUAACAUUUUUAACAAAUUCUCUCUCCAAAUAAUGUGCAGAUCCCAUCGCAGGUGAUUCAACUGAAAGGAUCAGAUAAUUUUGUGCCUUUCUAUUGUGGAUGCAAUGCUACACAUUCAGUAAGAAAAUACAAUUAAAUCGAAAUAUGAAGCCACUCUGGCUGAACUGCGAAGUCGAACGCUAAUAGAAUAAUACUGCUUCGACAGACAGCUCCGAGCAUUAUUGUCUAAAGUUGGGUAAAGGGUAAUUAAUUUGGCAGAAAAUCAUUCAGUGUUUUGGUGACUCUGAUGAGAAUUGUGAUCUUUUUUUUCUUUUUUUCUCUCUCUCGCUCAGACAUCCCCGACGCCAACCCCCAGUCCCCAUUGUCUGUGUGAAAAUGGAAAUCUGUGCCACCAGUACAAUAUCCACAUUAUGUGCCCUGCCUCCACAUUGUUGCAUGACAUGCUUGAUUGUACCCCGGCAUAUAGUAGCGGAAAUGUGUAAACAUACCAUUAGCACAUAUUACGGUUCGUCCUCCUCUAACUUAUUAAUGUGUAAUGUACGACUUUGUACAAGGUUUUUUUUUUAGGAUUUCUUCUAUGUUUGAACCAAACACCUCUUGGAGAUUUUGUAGAGCAGACAAAAAAUCAGAAGGAAAAGCGUUAAUUUACUAAUUAGUUUGUGCUUUGGACAAAAUACGUCCAUUUCAAAAUAACGGUUGAUACGUUUUACAAGAAAAUCAUCUGUUUUACUCUCACAUUGAUUCACAAAACCAUCAAAGCUUUUCUGUCAAAAACGUUUUAACUCAACCAUGCUGGACAUUGUUUGUGCCUCCCUGAAAGGCAAUUGCUAUUAUUAACCUUGCCUGAGGCUAAAGGUACAAUACAUGCCUUGCUAUAAUUGAGGGUAUAUGACAUUUGUAUACAAUGUUUUGACGUAUUGUGCAUGUUCAGAUAUUAUACAAUGAUUAUAAAGCUGAAUCUCUCAGACUUAUUGUUUCAUGUAAUACAGUUUAAAGGCGUUGGGACCAAGACAAACCGCCCAAAAGAAUACUUUCACAUGAAUCAUUGAGUGGUUCUGAAUGAAGAUAAAUUCACCUCUGAACCGUCCCAUGUGCAUUGACAAUUAAAAUCUCUUUCC
Molecule: long non-coding RNA, 10485 nt
Organism: Gasterosteus aculeatus aculeatus (three-spined stickleback)
Lineage: Eukaryota; Metazoa; Chordata; Actinopteri; Perciformes; Gasterosteidae
Source: Ensembl